UUUCUCUAAAACCCAUCAAACCGGACCCAUAUUCACCCCUACUAAACCCUACACUUAACCCCAUAUUCGUAUCUCAACUACAAUCUCAUCAUAAUCUUCACAUAUUUCCAUGGCAGAAAUUCACGUCGAAGACGCUUACACCAUCUCAAGCAUGCGUUUCCUCUUGACCAUGAAAGCAUUCCAAGCCAUAAUAAUCAACAGCAGCACCGACCCCGACAUAGCCGAACUCGACGUGAUCAUCGCCCAAAAUCCCCACCUCGCGGCCCCGCUAACCCGGUUUCGUCGAAGUUUCUUGGAGAACAAGGCACGCAGAGUUGAAGCCAUCUUUAGUUGUAAUCUCGUUGAUGCACCGUAUCUUGAAGUGAACGAUGUCUCGAGCUCGGAGUACGUGAGAUAUUUGCGAGAGAAGUGUAGGUGGACCGGGAUGGCGUGUUAUGAUGAGAAUCUUGAUGGGAAUUUGAAGAAUGAUGUUAGGAAGGUGCUUGGUGAUGUGCCGUGUCGCGUGAAGAGGGUCAUGGAGGACGGGAGGAUUGUGUUGGUGCCGCUGCCACCGGAACAAAUGGAGCAGCACAGUCAGGACGGAUCUAGGAAAAGGUACGAGACACGAUCUAAGAAGAGAUGCAUCUGAUAGGGGAAAAGAUGACAGAGAGAAUGUAUGGAAUUACUGUGGCAUUGCAAACUGAUAUGACUAGGAACAAAGUGCUUGUGGUUGAGGCAUGUACACAGAGAUUUGCAGCUGAAACCAGAAAACUUGCUACUUUUAAUAAUUUUGUUGAGGUUUUUGAGAUUUCUUGAAACUGUGUUUCAUAGUUCAGACCUACAUUGGAUCUUAUGUUUUUUCAUUAUGAAUUUAUACUUAUUUCUUGCCUAGUAAAUUGAAGUUUCUGAAGUAA
This is a long non-coding RNA of Daucus carota subsp. sativus, 893 nucleotides long. RefSeq lists it as uncharacterized. NCBI's taxonomy places the organism in Eukaryota, Viridiplantae, Streptophyta, Magnoliopsida, Apiales, Apiaceae. The record is from RefSeq and is a predicted model, not a curated record. The transcript is spliced from 2 exons.